This 497-nucleotide ribosomal RNA is filed under the name uncultured bacterium. RNAcentral describes it as "partial 16S ribosomal RNA". It matches the Rfam family "Bacterial small subunit ribosomal RNA", at positions 28 to 507 of the family's 1533-position model. The record is from RNAcentral.
GAUGAACGCUGGCGGCGUGCCUAAUACAUGCAAGUCGAGCGAACAGACGAGGAGCUUGCUCCUCUGACGUUAGCGGCGGACGGGUGAGUAACACGUGGAUAGCCUACCUAUAAGACUGGGAUAACUUCGGGAAACCGGAGCUAAUACCGGAUAAUAUGUUGAACCGCAUGGUUCAGUAGUGAAAGACGGUUUUGCUGUCACUUAUAGAUGGAUCCGCGCCGCAUUAGCUAGUUGGUAAGGUAACGGCUUACCAAGGCAACGAUGCGUAGCCGACCUGAGAGAGUGAUAGGCGACACUGGAGGUGAGCCACGGACCAGACUCCUACGGGAGGCCGCAGUAGGGAAUCUUACGCAAUGGGCGAAAGCCUGACGGAGCAGGGCCGAGUGAGUGAUGAAGGUCUUCGGAUCGUAAAACUCUGUUAUUAGGGAAGAACAAAUGUGUACGUAACUAUGCACGUCUUGACGGUACCUAAUCAGAAAGCCACGGCUAACUACGUG